UAUAUGAUAUGAUUUACCAAUAAACUCGCAAUAACGAAUAAGCACCAAUCGAAGAAAGAAGAAUUUUGAAAGUGGGGAUCGUUAAAGAACUUAAUUGUUCGAGAAUUGAGAAAUUGCAUAAUAUUCUUAAAGUAAAUUCUAAACGAGAAACAUGAAUGAAUAUAAAUAUGGAAAACUCAUUAUUGAAGGAAAGACCAAAAAGGUAUAUGAAGUUCUAAAUGAUUCUACUUUGUGUCUUUUACAAAGUAAGGAUUGUAUUACUGCUGAAGAUGGUAAAAAAUUUCAUAAUUUAAAAGGAAAAGCUGCAAUUAGUACAGCUACUACAGCUAAAGUAUUUCAAUUAUUAAAUAAAGCUGGAAUAAAAACAGCUUUCGUUGAAUUGGUAAAUGAUACUGUUUUUGUUGCCCAAAAAUGUCAAAUGCUACCAAUUGAAUGGGUUAGUCGAAGAUUAGCCACUGGCAGUUUCUUAAAAAGACAUCAAGGUGUCCCUGAAGGUUAUAGAUUUAAUCCACCUUUACAAGAAACAUUUUUUAAAGAUGAUAUUAAUCAUGAUCCUCAAUGGUCAAAGGAACAAAUUAUUUCUGCUGGUUUUAAAUUGAAUGAACUCAUAAUAGGAAAAGAUGAAUUUGAUAUUAUGCAACAUACUGCACUUACUGUAUUUGAGAUUUUAGAAAGAACAUGGGCGAGUAGAGAUUGUGCACUUAUAGAUAUGAAAAUAGAAUUUGGUGUGAAUGUAAACAAUGAAAUUAUGGUAGCAGAUAUAAUUGAUAGUGAUUCUUGGAGACUUUGGCCAUCUGGUGAUAAAAGAUUAAUGAAAGAUAAACAGAUAUAUAGAAAUUUAGAUAUUGUUACUGAAGAAGAUUUAAACACUGUAAAAUGUAAUUUUAAAUGGAUACAAGACCAACUUGACCAUCUUCUUCCUUUAUCUACUAGUCUUGUUGUUAUUUUAAUGGGAUCACUUUCUGAUGAAGGCCAUUGUAAAGAAAUAGCUAAACAUGCAAAAUCUUUAGGUUUAAAAGUUCAAUUUCGUGUUUGCAGCGCUCACAAAGGUACUCAAGAAACAUUGCGUAUUCUUGCAGAAUAUGAAGAUAGUGCUAAUAGCUGUAGCAGGGAGAAGUAAUGGAUUAGGUCCAGUACUCUCUGGAAAUACAUCUUUGCCUGUCAUUAAUUGUCCACCUUUCAAACCAGAAAAUAUUUCCCAAGAUUUAUGGUCAUCAAUCAAUGUUCCAUCAGGAAUUGGAUGCACUACAGUAAUCUAUCCUGAAAGUGCAGCAUUAGCAGCUGCUCAAAUUCACGCAUUGCAUGAUCAUCUAGUUUGGGCAUGUUUACGAGUAAAGCAGUUAAAAAAUUACAUUGCUUUAAAACAAGCUGAUAUUAAUUUAAAGAAUCUUAUUGUGUAAAAGAUUUGAAUUAUUUAAUACUAAUUUACGAUUCAAUUUUAUGAAUCACAUAAAAUUUAAUUACAUUUUAAAAAUAUAAUUAAUAUUAAAUAAUUCAUAUUACAAUAUAUUAAUUAUUCAUAUAAAUUUAUAUAUAUAUAUCAAUAUAUAAUAAAUAUUUAGUUGCUAAUUUAGUA
RNAcentral lists this unclassified non-coding RNA (1576 nucleotides) under Apis dorsata (giant honeybee). RNAcentral describes it as "multifunctional protein ADE2, transcript variant X2". The record is from RNAcentral. Lineage: Eukaryota; Metazoa; Arthropoda; Insecta; Hymenoptera; Apidae.